UGGGAUAUAGCUCAAUGGUAAGAGCGGGUGCCUUAUACGCACAAGGUUAUAGGUUCAAAUCCUGUUAUCUCAA
Molecule: transfer RNA, 73 nt
Filed under: Bacteroidota bacterium
Lineage: Bacteria; Pseudomonadati; Bacteroidota
Description: Bacteroidetes bacterium (soil metagenome) tRNA-Ile
Rfam family: tRNA
About the family: Transfer RNA (tRNA) molecules are approximately 80 nucleotides in length. Their secondary structure includes four short double-helical elements and three loops (D, anti-codon, and T loops).
Source: RNAcentral